UUGACUAUGCCAAUAUUGAUACACCCGAGGCAUUUAUUCCCGAGGACUCAAUACAUACCCCCACCUCAUUUCUCUUCUUCAGUCCUCGAGGUCAUCUAAGUCCUCGAGAUAUUGUAGUCCUCGAGAUACCUCGAGGACACUUUUACAUUCCCUCAAUGUCCUCGAGAAAUAGUCCUCGAGGACAUACACCACCAACAUACCUCCUAAAGACCUGGGUACCUAACUAACAAACCUAAACACCCAAGGAUUCUACAUCAACCCUAACACCACUUGUCAAACAAUUCCAUUGCAAGUAGGACAUUCUUUAUAAUAGAAAUUCCCUUGGAUAAAAACUUCCAACCAACACAAUCCUACUAGGAGUACACUACCUACUCCUAUAAAAGCAGAACCUUGGGCCAUUAUUCAGGUACGUUUUCUCAUUGUUCUUCAGCACAUAGCCUCACGCAUAUAUUUCCCUUUCUGACUUAAGCAUCGGAGGGGCGACGAGAACACACCUCGUUGCCUUUGUUUCAGGUAUCGGAAGAUCACGUUCGUGCUCCUCACCAGUCAUCAAGCUCGGAAAAUCAGCAGGUACGAUUUUUGGUAGCAUCA
RNAcentral lists this long non-coding RNA (591 nucleotides) under Olea europaea (common olive). RNAcentral describes it as "long non-coding RNA (OEUR_LNC005036)". The record is from RNAcentral. Lineage: Eukaryota; Viridiplantae; Streptophyta; Magnoliopsida; Lamiales; Oleaceae.